Molecule: long non-coding RNA, 842 nt
Organism: Lagopus muta (rock ptarmigan)
Lineage: Eukaryota; Metazoa; Chordata; Aves; Galliformes; Phasianidae
Exons: 2
Source: RefSeq, a predicted model, not a curated record
CGGAACCGGGUACCGGGCCGCAGCCGCCGCCUCGGCUCCGGAACGCCCUGCCGGCCGCGCCCGCAGCUCCCACCUCCCGCGCCGUGGUGAACGGGGUUCCUCUCUGCCCAACUCUCCAGCCUGCCCAGGUCUCCUUGAACAGCAGUGUGGCCUUCCGAUGCGUCAGCCGCUCCUGCCAGCUUUGUAUCAUCAGCAGACUUACUGAGGGUGGAUUCCAUCCCUUCAUCCAGACUGCUGAUUGAAGAUGGUGAACAAGACCGGACCCAGCACUGACCUCUGGAGAGCACUGCUAAAUGACAGGCCUCCACCUGGACUCUGCACAAUUGAUCACCACCCUCUGAGCUCUGCCAGUCAUCCAGUUCUCAGUCCACCUCCCUGUCCACUCAUCUAUCCCACGCAUCCUAGACUUUAUAACGAGAAUGGUGUGGGAGACAGCAUCAAACGCCUUGCUGAAGUCAAGGUACACAACAUCCACCACUCGACCCUCAUCCACACUGCCCUUGUUAGAGACUGGAAUGAUACUGGCUGUCCUUCAGCCUUCACACACCUCUCACUGCCCAUAUAUACCAUGUAAGGUAAGAAGCAUCUGCUUUCUCUCAAACUCCUCAGCACUAUGUUAAAAACAUCUCACAUACAAAACAAGUUUGUAAAAUAAUAUUUUACUUUUUUGUAACCUUUUUGGAAAAUGUACAGGUUUGGCCAUCAGUUAAGAUCUAUAUUUUAUACAGUGAGCUAGGCUACAGGUUUGGAUGCGACACACGGAUUCUGGAACAAAGAUGGAGGUUCUACACACAGAUGAAAUGGCAGUAAAGAAACAGUUGCUUUUUUUUUUUUUUUUUAAA